Molecule: ribosomal RNA, 253 nt
Filed under: uncultured bacterium
Lineage: Bacteria
Description: partial 16S ribosomal RNA
Rfam family: Bacterial small subunit ribosomal RNA
Source: RNAcentral
GACGAACCGUGCGAACGUUGUUCGGAAUCACUGGGCUUAAAGGGCGCGUAGGCGGCCCCGCCAGUCUCGGGUGAAAUCUUCCGGCCCAACCGGAAAAGUGCCCGGGAUACUGCGGGGCUCGAGCGAGGCAGGGGCGGGGGGAACUUCCGGUGGAGCGGUGAAAUGCGUUGAUAUCGGAAGGAACGCCGGAGGCGAAAGCGCCCCGCUGGGCCUCUCCUGACGCUGAGGCGCGAAAGCCAGGGGAGCGAACGGG